Bactrocera dorsalis (oriental fruit fly) is the source of this 2918-nucleotide RNA transcript. It is a transcript of the gene named endoplasmic reticulum membrane-associated RNA degradation protein, with no coding region annotated. The transcript has 6 exons. NCBI's taxonomy places the organism in Eukaryota, Metazoa, Arthropoda, Insecta, Diptera, Tephritidae. The record is from RefSeq and is a predicted model, not a curated record.
CAAUGCAGAUUGCAAUCUAUGUUCUCUAAACAUUGUACGAACAAAGAUGAAUAAUUUAAGUAAUCAUAAAUUAAUAAAUAAACGCAUCUUAGAAUUCUAUGUAAGCCAUAACAAGUUUGAACUUGAAGAAAUUCGAAAGUACUUACACGAUAAUUGGUCGUUGAAUUUUGAAGCAUUGUAUGGAUUGUAUAAAGAUAUAUUAAAUCCAGUUCUGGCAGAUUAUAAUUACGAGAAGUCCUUAGACUCUUUUCGAAAAUUAUUGCCAAUUUUUGAAGGCAUAAAUUUCUUGUACUGCAACGCUCAAUUGGAUUUAAAAAUUUUUAAUUUUGAAUGGCUUGGAGUCAAUUCCAAAUAUUUGCUGGAAACUUUAGAGUCAACUGAAUUUGCAGAAACGUUUACCGUAGAAAAAACUCUAUUAUUAACUUCAGUUCUGGAAAAUGCGUUGGCAAAUUUGUUCUUUGUCACCAGUGAUAAUUGUACACCACCGCAUUUGUUGCGUGACUUAUUACGCACAAAGGAGCUCCACAAUAUAUUCGGGUUAGAAAUAAUGUCCUUAUUGAAAAUAAUAAUGGGUACGCCUAAUGCAAUCAAUUUACGCAACAUUGUAUGGCAUGGCUUUCCAAAACCUGAAGAAAUACCAAAUUAUUAUGUCACAAUACUAAUCAUUAUUAUGCAUAGCUUGGGCUCGGAGCUUAAAAGUAAACAAAUUGUUCAGUUGAUUGAGCGUCCAAAAGCUUCAGAUUUUAAAAUAUUAUGUGAGAAAGUUUUAAACCAACUUUUAUUGCCUUCAGAAUUCGUAAAUGAGAGUAAAUGCUUUGAACAAAUUAAAAAUCAUGUGUGGCUACACAAAGCUUUUAAGCAGUACUGGUAUCGGCUAUACCAAUAUUAUGAAAGAAAACAGUUUUGGAAUUUCGUAAUAUUGAUCAUACCGCAAAUCGAAUUAUUACUUCGAUUCAUAUAUGCACAAGCAAAUAAUUUUGAUGUUUCUGCCAAGUUGGAUGAGUACUAUAUUACAAUGGAUUCAAUAUUUGAGUGUAACGUUACAACUGAAGAGGCAAGUAGUAAAAACAAACUAAUAAAUGAGAAGGUUCUAAGUGAGGACCUGCUUAGCCUUACAUAUGAUUUAUUUAUUGCACCAAAUGGACCACGCGUGAGAGAUAAAAUUAGUCAUGGUGAAAUUGAUAUUGCUCUAAUAGAUUAUCCGGAAUUAUGUGAUAUCUUGCUCUAUCUUUCCAUGGGACUAUUAAAUUUUGAGCAGCCGUUUCAAAAAUAUGAAAGUGUUUUCCAUUUAAAUUGCGUUACAAAAAACACAUUGAGUCGAGCUGGAAAAGAAUUUGAAAAACUGAGAGAAAAAUAUUUAAGAGAAGAAAAUAUAGACUCCUCAAAAUUACUUAUCGAGGAUGGAGUGCCCUGUGAUAUAAAAAUAUUUAAUCGUCCAAAAAAGGAAUCUGAAAUAAUUUAUUUAGUGUUAAGAAAUGCGAAAUUUGUCCAAACGUCUUGUGCAAACUAUUCAUUUUCCAUUGAUACUAGAUUAAAGCUGUUGGAACAGCGCGAAUUACAUUCUAAAAGACGUCGUACUUUGGAGCGCAUACUGGAAGUUCUGCCGAAUAUUUGUAAUGCCUUAAGGGAUAUUUUGACUUGCCUCUUGUGCAUAUUCGUAAAGCUGCAAACUGACGAUUCCAUUUUUCAAAAUGAAGAAGUUUCUAAAACUCUACUAAGAUUUUUAAAGCACACAUUAAAAUUGACCGAAAAUUUUACUAAAUAUUCCAAUGAGAGCAGCAAUGAAUGGAUUAAAGCUGUUCAAUUGUGUAAAAAGUUCACUGAUGUAAAACUACUAUAUUAUCCGACAGAAUACUUCUAAUAAUGGACCUUCCUCAGGAAAAAACGUCGCGGUCCUAAUUACGGCAGCUGGUGGCGUAUAUGUACGGGAUUUAUCCAGAAAGUAAUAGGACUGAUUUUUGCCCGCCGCGGCUAUACUUCGGAGAGUGCGCGUACCAACUGAUUCGGCAGAGGGCGUUCCUAGUUAACGAACGAGCGGCUGGUCAGUUGUCUCCGAGCACCUGGAGAGUCAGGAGUGAGUGGUGCAAGUCGAAAAUGCAGCGUUUGUUAGAGCGGAGGUAUCCGAUUAAAUUCUGUGUGAAACUCGGUAAUGAUAUGAUCAAGCAGGCUUACCCAGAUGUUGCUUUAGCAAGAAGUGGUGUGUUUCGGUGGCUCCAAGCAAAUCCAAAGUGAGAACGAUGCUCAUCGUCUUUUUUUGACAUCAAAGGCAUCGUCCACCAUGAAUUUGUUCCUCCAUGACAAACCGUCAAUGCCAAGUAUUACGUAGAAGUCCUUAAGAGACUCAAUCCCGUCCACAAGACAUCGCAGCCGAUUGGAAGUUGCACAGCGACAACGCCCCGGCUCACACCGCCAAUCUUUUGAAGAGCUACCUAACCAACGCCGGCAUCACAAUGCUACCGCAGCCACCCUACAGCCCAGAUGUGGCCCCCGAUAGUUUAUUCUGCAUGCAUAAAGAAAAAGCUUGCAAAAUCGCCUUCAAAAAUCAAAUAAGAUAACAGCAUAUGUAUAUGCCUUAUUUUGGACCGCAACUUAUAAGAAAUUUCAAUUAUAUAUCUACUGGAAUCGAGAUCAGACACACCACACCUCCAAUCAAACUCCAGUGUGGCCUCAUUUGUGUCCGCAGUAGAUCUGGUAUCAACAAAGACAUUCGAAUACUAUUUAAAGCAGACCUCUUAAAAUAUUUCAAGCACCUUUAAUUACUUGAUUAUUGAUAUUUAUUAUUAAUUAAUAUUUUGAUUCUUGCUUUUGCUUACAAAUAUGCUAUGUCGUUCAAUCGCGCCCAAAAAUUAAGCAGGCAAUCAAGCGAAUUUGAAAUGAUCAAAUGUCUCAUAAAUACAUAAAAUUGUCAAAUAUGGCUA